Molecule: ribosomal RNA, 253 nt
Filed under: uncultured bacterium
Lineage: Bacteria
Description: partial 16S ribosomal RNA
Rfam family: Bacterial small subunit ribosomal RNA
Source: RNAcentral
GACGAGGGGUCCAAGCGUUGUUCGGAAUCAUUGGGCGUAAAGCGGGUGUAGGCGGCUCUAUAAGUCAGGAGUGAAAUCCCCGAGCUUAACUUGGGAAGUGCUUUUGAUACUGCAGAGCUUGAAUGUGGGAGAGGAUAGUGGAAUUCCAGGUGUAGUGGUGAAAUACGUAGAUAUCUGGAGGAACACCGGUGGCGAAGGCGGCUAUCUGGCCCAACAUUGACGCUGAGACCCGAAAGCGUGGGGAUCAAACAGG